UUACUUACCUGGCAGGGGAGACACCUUGAUCAUGAAGGAGGUUUUCCUAGGGUGAGGCUCAUCCAUUGCACUAGCCACCCAGAGUGGCUGGGGAAACCCAGUCAGACGGGCGCGGUAUAAAUUAUUGUUAUUUGUUAUUUUAAGGGCCCAAG
Podarcis lilfordi (Lilford's wall lizard) is the source of this 152-nucleotide non-coding RNA. Lineage: Eukaryota; Metazoa; Chordata; Lepidosauria; Squamata; Lacertidae. The record is from the annotation of a GenBank genome assembly.